UACGUAGGGUGCGAGCGUUGUCCGGAAUUAUUGGGCGUAAAGAGCUCGUAGGCGGUCUGUCGCGUCUGCUGUGAAAACUCAGGGCUUAACCCUGAGCUUGCAGUGGGUACGGGCAGACUAGAGUACGAGAAGGGGCAACUGGAAUUCUCGGUGUAGCGGUGAAAUGCGGUAGAUAUCGAGAGGAACACCUGCGGCGAAGGCGGGUUGCUGGCUGAUGACUGACGCUGAGGCGCGAAAGCUAGGGGAGCGAACGGG
Molecule: ribosomal RNA, 255 nt
Filed under: uncultured bacterium
Lineage: Bacteria
Description: partial 16S ribosomal RNA
Rfam family: Bacterial small subunit ribosomal RNA
Source: RNAcentral